UGGGGAAUUUUGGACAAUGGGCGCAAGCCUGAUCCAGCCAUUCCGCGUGAGUGAAGAAGGCCUUCGGGUUGUAAAGCACUUUCAAUUGGGAGGAAAACCUAUCGAUCAAUACCCGGUAGCUUGACAUUACCUUUAGAAGAAGCACCGGCUAACUCCGUGCCAGCAGCCGCGGUAAUACGGAGGGUGCGAGCGUUAAUCGGAAUUACUGGGCGUAAAGGGCGUGCAGGUGGCUUGUCAUGUCGGAUGUGAAAUCCUGCGGCUUAACCGCAGAACUGCGUUCGAAACUGGCGAGCUUGAGUGCGGAAGGGGGGGGUGGAAUUCCCGGUGUAGAGGUGAAAUUCGUAGAUAUCGGGAAGAAUACCGGUGGCGAAGGCGACCGCCUGGUCCGCAACUGACACUGAGACGCGAAAGCGUGGGGAGCAAACAGA
RNAcentral lists this ribosomal RNA (428 nucleotides) under uncultured bacterium. Its description in RNAcentral is "bacterial SSU rRNA". It matches the Rfam family "Bacterial small subunit ribosomal RNA", at positions 355 to 776 of the family's 1533-position model. The record is from RNAcentral.